RNAcentral lists this long non-coding RNA (858 nucleotides) under Homo sapiens (human). Its description in RNAcentral is "HSALNT0361124". The record is from RNAcentral. Lineage: Eukaryota; Metazoa; Chordata; Mammalia; Primates; Hominidae.
AAAUGAGACUCCAUCUCAGAAAAAAAAGAAAAAAGAGAGGGAGAUUAGGAAGUGUGUAAUCAGCAUAGCUACAAUGACUGAUCUUUCACCCCUGUCCCAUCUGACAGGUCUUCUGUAAGAGGAUUGAGGUGUGCAUGAGAAGAUAUUAGAAGACUUUAGCUGCCAGAGAAGAUAAUUUGGAAAUCAUCUGCUCCGCCAUUAAUAGAGAGACAGAAUAUCACUGGUGAAAGAGAAAUCACAAUGGGAUCUGAUGGAGAAGGCCACACACAUCUGUAGGUCUUGGAUUUUUUGCUGCAUAGAGUAAUCAGAUGAGAGCUUGGGUGGUCUCCCUUGAUAAGGAGAUGACAUUUGUGGAUCAAUCCUCCUAUCUGCUUCCAGUCAUCACACAUUAGCCUUUUACUCAUGAAGAGUCAAAGCUCUACUGCCUGAAUGAGCCCAGGACACUUGCCUCCACCCAUCCAGUGUUAUCACCUAGGCUCUAACUCUGUUAAAGUCCAUUUCUUCACUACUGAACAUUGGAAAAUGGGUGUGGACGAGUGAGAAAGUCUGGAACAGGAGGAAAAGAAAAGGGAACAGAUUCCUAGAUGUUCCAGCAAGUGGAAACACAGUUGGGAAAACAUGGCUUGGGAAGCAGAGACUUGGAGGAGGAGGAACUGUGUCCCUGGGGAAACCCGUCUUAUUGUGCUCCAACAGGAAAGAACUGAAAAUUGUAUUUGAGAACAAAGACACUAAACUUACCACCAUGCCAAAAGUAGAAGAGAUAUGAGAAACUAAAUGAUCCCCACUUAGUAGGAAGCAUAAUAUUGCAUCAGAAAUAAAAUGGGAAUAAUUAUAGCACCUGCUUUAUUUGCAUUUUGU